Long non-coding RNA from Triticum aestivum (bread wheat), 3276 nucleotides. RefSeq lists it as uncharacterized. The record is from RefSeq and is a predicted model, not a curated record. Lineage: Eukaryota; Viridiplantae; Streptophyta; Magnoliopsida; Poales; Poaceae. The transcript has 11 exons.
CCAUUGGGCACGACCGCACCAACCCUAGCUCCCGAUCCACAGCCACACACUCCUCCCUCCUCCCUCUCACAGCCGCCACACCCCAUUCCUCUCUUCCUCCUCCCUCCUCCUUCCCAGAUCCCUACCACCGCCACACCCACUCGUCUCCUCCUCUCUCUUUUAGCUAACUCCUUCCUGAUCUCUGCGUCGGCCGCAGUGCGAGAGGAGCAGUGGCGGCAGAGAUGCUCCGAUGGCGGCGUCGAGUUGCGAAGCGGCGGACGCUCGGGCGCGAGACGAUAGAAGCGGAAGCGGCUACUCCGGGCCCCGAUCUGGGGGGUUCGGUUCCAGGGCGCCGACGGCUUCUUUGUCUAUGACGCGGGGGCGAGCUGGGGUUCGUCAUCACCACGGCCGACCACCUCCCGUCGCUAGCCGAGCCCGGUGGUGAGGUGAAGGAGCAGGGUGGGCGGCCCGUCGCGAUGGGAUGGGGCUAGGGAAGAGGGAGGAGGCCGAAGGGUGAAGGAGCAGGCCGGCCCUCACGGUCACAGAGGCACCGCCGCUGGUGAGGUGAAGGAGCAGGGUGGGCGGCCCGUCGCGAUGGGAUGGAGCUAGGGAAGAGGGAGGAGGCCGAAGGGUGAAGGAGCAGGCCGGCCCUCACGGUCACAGAGGCGCCGCCGCUGUCCAGGGUCAUUCGCCGUCACCGGCCUCACUCGCCUCGUCUCCUAUCUCUUCAUCACUGCAUCCAUGUGAAUUUUUGGAGAAUGGUGCUCCGAUUUGGUCCCCAUGCUACAGGCCUGCAACAUUUAUAGACGAGGAUUGCAGGUGUCGAUACAAUGGAGCAAUUUCUGGCUUUGUAGUUGGAGCAUAGCCUCGAUUAUGCAUGAUUUUGGGGUUUUGCUCUCUCCCUGUGUGCUACACAUUUCUGCUCUCCCCAGUAGCAAUUGGAUGUUAAUCUGCUUUGGGCAGCGGCGGUGCAUCAAGGUGCAAGGCAGCAGCGACAUGUUCAUAGUACGCUAAAGGAUGAACUGCUACUUUUCCUGAUGCUAGCUCCUUGCUGCAGAUAUACCAGCCUGCUUACAGCUCCCAAGAUAUCCUCUUGGUCAAGGCAAUUGCACAUGAUGAAGCCACUCAUUUUAGUGGUAUACCACACUCUGAGCAAUAGGACCAAAAACAGGAAGAUAAAAUUUCACAAUUCGAUACUUCAUAUUUUCCAGAAGUACGGCCACCUUCUGCACAGUGCCCUUGCAUUGGGGUUCUUAUCAAAUAAGUUUCUUUCCGUAGAAUUUGUUCAGGAUAUGCAUUGUGCUUAAACAUGAGUGCUCGCUCGCCGAACGUUGGCCCUCGGAUGAAUUCGACGCUUGAAUCGAGCUGACGAGCCCCAUGGGGGUGAGGCGGAUAACAAUACGAGAAGGAGCAUGCCAUCGAGGAGUGCAAGCAGCGGCACUCCUCCACAAUGGGGUAUGGCUGCAGGGGAGGGGACGCGGCCAACGACAUGAAGAAGGAGCAGGUCGUCGAGGACUACAAGCAGCAGGUUUCCUUUGACUGGAGGUCUGAAACUGAAGAUAGGGCAUAUUGUUUUGGUUCUGAGUGGCCGGAGAUAUUGUGGCUUGAUGUCCCUAGAGCAGUCGGACCCUUCCAAGAUAGAAGAUCUUUGGGAUUGACGUUCUGAUGAGAAAGUAGCAUACGGAUGGAUGGACAUGAACUAUUCAGUGGUCGAACUGCGCUAUAUUUCUUUCAUUGAGGCGAGGGUGAUUCCAGUAGGUGAGGUGCAUUUUAGACAUCCGGAUGUCUUGCUAUGUUCAGGUGGUACCAUGUCUAAAUUAAGAUUUCCCUUGGCGUACUCGCCUUUUUUAUUGAAGUUGGGUGUCCGUCUUCUCUGCGGCAAGGUGAGCUUAUCCCAUUUACUUUGUUCAAUCCAGAGUCAAGAUUCAUAUCCCCUUCACUGUCAUUUCAUUUGUGAGAAUUUAUUCCAUUGAUCCAUGUUGUCGGCAUCCUGACAAUUUAUCUUUUUCUGCCGAUCACAAUUGCUUCUGAACACACCGGCCCAUCUCAUUGAGGAAAUCCCCCUGCUCUGCUUAAUUAAAAUUAAUGUGAAAUAUGUUUCUACCAAAACUAAUUACAAUUUAUUCUUUUUAGUUUCUACUGAUUUUCACUAUGAAAUAUUGGGGCCCGAGUAGUUCAGUUCAAUUCCCGGUGGAUAUGGCACACACAUGUAUCAUCGCUGUUAUCGUAAUUGAUACCAACACCUUGACUGAAUCGCAUAGAGUAGACUGCCCUGAUAAUUCUUGCACAACCAAGCUAUCUGUAACAUAGAAUAGACUGUGAGCAUGCCCUGGGGACAUGUCUAAAUAAUUCCUGUACACAUGGACACUGGGUAUGUUUGUAAUCGCCCAAGAAAUUAGCAGCUGGAGAUUAUUUGUUGAAAAAUCUAACGGUGUUUCCUUACCAUCAGCUGCUAUUUCAGUAGUUCUAAAAUGUUCUGCAAGAUAAUGUAUAAUGAAUAUGUAGCUAUGUUCAUGUAUGUAUAGCUUUGCAUAAUAAUGUUUUGUAUGGCAAAGGUUCAUAUGGCUGGAAGGGAAAUUAGUAGCUGCACCUUGGUACCUGCAAAUAAUUUGUUUUACAGUGUCCCUUGAUGGUUCUCCACUUCAGACACUAAAGAUACCGAUGGAGCUUUGUUUAGGAUCUGGGGAGUCAGAUUGUGGAUUACAUGUAGUGGGGAAGUAGAGAGGGGGACGAGGAAGAGGACACCGUCGGUGGCGUGCUAUAUCUCACUAGGCGACAAUGUCGAGAGGGUGCCUGGCAUCAAGAACCCGACAUGCUUUUCCAAGUGUUCGUUGAGGUGAGCCACCUGGGCCGGUCUAUGGGUUGAGGUGGUUUGAUAAUCCUGGGUUGUUCCUCUUUUUCCUGUGUUUUUUUUCAGGAAAUGACUUUAUUUAUUGGAAAAUGGCAAUAUUGUUUACAAGUAUACAUGAAACAAACUAUUUUUCCUACACCUCUUUGUUCUGUGUAAUGGUGCUCUUGGUUGAGUGUGCUGACGAAAGAGAUUCCAUGCUACAGGCUAGGUAGCUUCUCAGUAACUCUUCAUGAUUUACUUGCAAUGUUGUACUUUGCAAAAUUGUUCCUUGCAAUCCUAAAAUGGUUUCUCAAAACAUGGGAAAAUUACAUUCUAAAAAUUUUAGGCACACUGAGUGAAGCAUAUAUAUAAAGGACGCGGCUAAUCUGCUCUCGGGCUCAAAUGAGCUCGGGUGAACAGUAAAAUCAAAACUAAAUCAAAAAAAAAUUCAAAAAAUUCCAAAUGGA